CCUAACUAAUUAAACCUAAAACUACCAUUUCUUCUCCACGAUUUAUUAAAAAUUGAGAUUCAUAUUAAACGUGAUCAGAUCUGGGAAGAGUCUCCGGUGGUGAUGAGUUCUCCGACCAGAUUCGACGACUUUGGCCAGAUCCGACGACACUGACGAGUUCUCCGGCCAGAUCCGACGACGCUGAAGAGUUCCUGGCGAGAUUUGACGAACGCUGACAAGUUUCCGGCGAGAUCUGACGAUGCUGACGAGUUUUCCGGCGAGAUCUGACGUGGCUAACGAGUUCUCCAGCGAAACUGACAGACUCUACAAGCUCAGACGAACAAGACGAUCUCUCUCCCGACGCAUAAGAAACACUAACAAAGGGAAUUACAAAGGUGUGAUGUGAGCUUUUGGAUUUAAAGGAUACUGUGGAGAAUAUGUGUGGUGAUAUGCAUAUCAAGUACCUCACUUUCUUGAGAUUUUGAAGAACGAUAAGGUUGGUGACCUGUUUGAAGAAGCAAAAGAGACUCUCAACAAGAACGUAGUUUAUGUGAUUAAAGAAUGACUAUUUAUAACUCUUUAUAAAAGUUGC
This is a long non-coding RNA of Raphanus sativus (radish), 571 nucleotides long. RefSeq lists it as uncharacterized. The record is from RefSeq and is a predicted model, not a curated record. NCBI's taxonomy places the organism in Eukaryota, Viridiplantae, Streptophyta, Magnoliopsida, Brassicales, Brassicaceae. The transcript is spliced from 3 exons.